This is a long non-coding RNA of Papaver somniferum (opium poppy), 1939 nucleotides long. RefSeq lists it as uncharacterized. The record is from RefSeq and is a predicted model, not a curated record. NCBI's taxonomy places the organism in Eukaryota, Viridiplantae, Streptophyta, Magnoliopsida, Ranunculales, Papaveraceae. The transcript is spliced from 3 exons.
UAGACUCAGUUCCAAAAAUCUUCUACCCUCAAAUUCUUCGUCUUCCUACCUUACAAGUUAAAAAGAAAAAAAGUUACAUUAAUAAACAUGGAAGAUGCAGGUUCAAUUUAGUCAGUCAUAGGAUUUUCUCCAUGGUUUUGAGUUUUGGUUUAGUUCUCAGAUCAACCAGGAUUGCAAAACUCAAAUUAGUUCUCAGAUCUAUCGGUAUCACAAAACUCAAAUUACGGGUUCUGUAGCAGCUGAAUGGAGGGAAUAUUAAUCUGCAACGAAUCAAGUUGGAGAUAAUUCUGUUGACACAAUCACCAUCUUCAUCCCAAUUUAAUAGAGGGGCCAGGGGGGAGGAAUUGCACGUCAUCAGUCCCAAAAAUCUUCUUUGGAAAUUUGACAAGCUCAUCCGAGAAGGCAGACUUUACCUAACUGACAAAUUGAGUUUUACCACCACCAAGCCUGAGUUUCGUCCAUCAAACAAUGAACGAGGUGGGUUUUUUCAGUGGAACACUGCUGCGGCCACUCUUCAUGCUUACUCCAUGUCAAUUCCUCUGCAAAAAUUCUCUUUUAUCACAUAUGAAGGCCUAAACUUGAAAACGUAUCUCACCGGUAAAACAUUUUAGGGCAAUUUACAGAAAUAGGCCUGUUUUUUUUUAUGGUUUGCAAAACUAGGCCUUUUUUUUUAUUUAUUGCAAAACUAGGCAAGUUUUGACCAAAAGUGAUGGAUGGAAAGUUAGCUGCAGUUAUCUUCCAGCUGUCCAUAUCUUCUUAGCUAAAAGGACGUUUUAGUCCUUCAAAUCUUCAUCAACGACACAGAUUGCAUAAUAAAGUAAACGGCUAAGAUGUCCCAUAUAGAGUACACGUGUAGGAGAUCUAGCCACAUAAAAUCAAAUACUAGGAUUGGUCGUACUCCAACAGUCAAUUAGUGAACAACUCUAAAAAUGAUUAAGAAAAAUCCAGGAUUGGUCCGGAUGCUUGCUGCUUUGUUGCCGUAGCUCAUGAAUUGCAGGUGGAAUAGAUGUAACAGCAGCCAAUGGAGGAGGUCAUGUUGUGCUGCUAUUGGUAUACUGAUGGUUUUAGGGGGACUUGAACUGUAGAUGAAGUUUGUGAACUAUGGAUGAAGUUGCGACUAGUGGUGGUGUAUGCAGGUGGAUGCUGGUAAUAUUGUGGAACUGCAUGUGGUAUAUGCUUGUGGAGAUGCAAGCGGGUGUAUGAAGAUGGGUUUUGGAGAUGGUGGAUGGUGAUGGAUGGAAGUUGUUCAGCGAGCUUUCUAGGUCUUCCUUUUAUAAUCUCAGUUUUUCAACUUCUUAAUUAACACGAAACCAAGUUUCCUAAUCCUAGCUGAACACAAAAAUUGAACUGAAUCCCAGCCAUCCAUUAAACUGUACCAACGGCUUUCACUCUUGUUCUUAGAUGUUAUAUCGGCAGAAAACAGACCCUACGUUCUUCAGCUCAUUACCCAAUUUCAUAACUUCGAAAUCCAUGUUCUAAUCCUUGGAACAAGCCAGCUAACCCAUGGCUAGAGCAAUGGCAAAGAGAAGAGACGUGAACUGACUACUUCAAGACCUGAACUGCCGUUCAGGCUUUCUGUCGAACACCUUGUGUGUUGAAAAGGGGAACUCAGAGAUAACCAUUUUUCUGUUGUAUGAGCUCCCCCUUGACCUGCAAUCGAAUUGGAGAUAAACCCAUUCUCGUAUACCUUCUCAAAUACACAUACAUUCACUAAUCAGUCACUGUUCAUCCCUCAAAUCAAUGGUGGUAUCUCAAGUUCUUCCCUGUACGGCAGCUAACAUCUUUUUGGUUCCAAAUUUGCUUUUGAUGUGAAAUUUCUCUGGUAUGAGAAACUUGUAGUCUACAUUUCAAGAAAUUACAACAGAGUCACAGAUAAUGUACUCUGAACAUGAAAAAUAAACAAAUAAUGAAGACUAUUUCCUUGUGGCAUUUCAACAAA